This is a long non-coding RNA of Zophobas morio, 567 nucleotides long. RefSeq lists it as uncharacterized. The transcript has 3 exons. The record is from RefSeq and is a predicted model, not a curated record. Lineage: Eukaryota; Metazoa; Arthropoda; Insecta; Coleoptera; Tenebrionidae.
CUGUCACAAAAACACAAUUUGUUGUCACUGUUUUAUUACUAUAAAAUCUACAUAUUUUAAACAAUCUUUUACAAUCGUUCUUGUGAACAGUGAAUCGCACAUUGGGAAAAAUUUGCUCUGAUAACCGAAAAUUCGUCGACCUAAAAUAUAUAUUUCAGAUCCGCAUUGCAAAAUGGAAUCCAAAGUUGCACUUACUGCUUUCGUUAUGUGUACAUUUUUUUUGUGUAAAAGUGCAGCAGGUUUAGAGUGUUAUGUAUGUCUUCUUGGAGUUUGCAAGGAUCCAUUAGCUAAAAUGACAUGUCAACCCAACCAAAAGUGUAUCACGCAAUUAGCUACUCAGGGAAGCACUAGCCUGGAAACAAAAACUUGCAUUACACCUAGCGAUAAGCUUGUGAAUACAUGUGAAGAGCAAAAUAAAAAAACAGGACAGCAUUGUAAGAUAUGUGAUUCAAACCUGUGUAAUGCAGCAGAACUAUACACCUUUUCUAUAUUUUUAUUAUGUUCAGUGAUGAUAAUUCUUUAUAAAAUUAUGUAAUUGGAUAAAUAAAAGUUUGUACAGAGAAUAAA